Molecule: ribosomal RNA, 490 nt
Filed under: uncultured bacterium
Lineage: Bacteria
Description: partial 16S ribosomal RNA
Rfam family: Bacterial small subunit ribosomal RNA
Source: RNAcentral
AGUGAACGCUGGCGGUAGGCCUAACACAUGCAAGUCGAACGGCAGCACAGGAGAGCUUGCUCUCUAGGUGGCGAGUGGCGGACGGGUGAGGAAUACAUCGGAAUCUGCCCAGUCGUGGGGGAUAACGUAGGGAAACUUACGCUAAUACCGCAUACGACCUUCGGGUGAAAGAGGGGGAUCGCAAGACCUCUCGCGAUUGGAUGAGCCGAUGUCGGAUUAGCUAGUUAGCGGGGUAAUGGCCCACCAAGGCGACGAUCCGUAGCUGGUCUGAGAGGAUGAUCAGCCACACUGGAACUGAGACACGGUCCAGACUCCUACGGGAGGCAGCAGUGGGGAAUAUUGGACAAUGGGCGCAAGCCUGAUCCAGCCAUACCGCGUGGGUGAAGAAGGCCUUCGGGUUGUAAAGCCCUUUUGUUGGGAAAGAAAUUUUUCAGGCUAAUACCCUGGGAGGAUGACGGUACCCAAAGAAUAAGCACCGGCUAACUUCGUG